RNAcentral lists this transfer RNA (76 nucleotides) under Nitrospiraceae bacterium. RNAcentral's name for it is "tRNA-Thr". It matches the Rfam family "tRNA". Rfam says of the family: Transfer RNA (tRNA) molecules are approximately 80 nucleotides in length. Their secondary structure includes four short double-helical elements and three loops (D, anti-codon, and T loops). The record is from RNAcentral. RNAcentral also lists the same sequence under 1 other name. Lineage: Bacteria; Pseudomonadati; Nitrospirota; Nitrospiria; Nitrospirales; Nitrospiraceae.
GCCGAUGUAGCUCAGCUGGUAGAGCAGCUGAUUUGUAAUCAGCGGGUCGGGGGUUCGAGUCCCUUCAUCGGCUCCA